UACUGCACUGAUAAGAAGCUUUUUUUUUAUUGAAAUUCCCACAGGUGCCUAAAACAUUUGCACAAUACUGUAUAUAUCUAUUCACACUGGGAGAAGGUACCUGCCCAGCCCUUCCACCUCCAGUUCCCCACUGCGCUUAUCCAGUUGCCCCCUGCAGCCCUGCUGGAGGGACUCUGCCCCGUCCUUAUCAGGAGAGGAAGCACGACAGGAUGACCGAUACACACAGCCGGCCAAUCAAAACUACUCUUAUUUCAGCAGCCCCUCCCCUUCUGUCUUUUGUCGCCAUAGCGACCACCUCAAAGCACAAAGUUCUGUGCAGCUGACAAAUCGCCAGUGACUCUCCUUUUGGUGCCAUGGCAAAAGCAGCACAGACAAGGCAGGAUUUAUGGCCGCUGUAGAGAGAAGUUAUUGAGAGGGUAGUGCUACGGUCUGAAACUGGAAAGUCUCUGAUAGGGCAAUAAAUACUGACCAGAUUAAA
Molecule: long non-coding RNA, 478 nt
Organism: Astyanax mexicanus (Mexican tetra)
Lineage: Eukaryota; Metazoa; Chordata; Actinopteri; Characiformes; Acestrorhamphidae
Exons: 2
Source: RefSeq, a predicted model, not a curated record